RNAcentral lists this ribosomal RNA (539 nucleotides) under uncultured bacterium. RNAcentral's name for it is "bacterial SSU rRNA". It matches the Rfam family "Bacterial small subunit ribosomal RNA", at positions 777 to 1296 of the family's 1533-position model. The record is from RNAcentral.
AAUAGAUACCCCGGUAGUCCUAGCCGUAAACGAUGAGCACUUGAUUGAGGGCCCCCCCAUAGGCUCUCGAUCGCAGCGAAAGUGUUAAGUGCUCCGCCUGGGGAGUAUGGUCGCAAGGCUAGAAACUCAAAGGAAUUGGACGGGGGGCUCACACAAGCGGUGGAGGAUGUGGCUUAAUUCGAGGCUACGCGAAGAACCUUAUCCAGGCCUUGACAUGUACGGAUGCUGCCCGUGAAAGCGGGUUAGUUGCCUUCGGGUGAAACGUGCACAGGUGCUGCAUGGCUGUCGUCAGCUCGUGUCGGUGAGAUGUCGGGUUAAGUCCCUUAACGAGCGAAACCCUUUGUCCUUAGUUGCCAGCGAGUCAUGUCGGGGGACUCUAAGGAGACUGCCGGCGUUAAGCCGGAGGAAGGUGGGGAUGACGUCAAGUCCUCAUGGCCUUUAGUGGUCUGGGCUGCACACGUCCGUACAUGGCAUAUACGAAACGGGAUGCUACCUCGCGAGAGCAAGCCAAAUACCCGAAAAGUAUGCCCCGAGGUUAC